UUUAAUUUAUUUCCUUUCAUCUAUUCAUACUUUCAUUUCCUCCUUCCUUCAUAUAUUCCUAGUUUUACUAGUUUUAAAAUAUCCAAUUUCAACCACAAAACAGGAUAAUGGGUUUAAUUUUCUUACUUGGAUAUUAUCAAGAUUCAAAGAAAACGAAAAAAAAGAUCCUUCACAUCAAAUUCAAGCAUGUAAUAUAAGAAAUAAAACAAUGGAUUACAUACAUAUCUGAUGAAAUAAUUAUAUAUCGAUCAGAAAGCUGAUGUGCAGCUCCUAUUCUGUACUUAAUAAAAUCAAAUAUAUGAAAAAAUAAAUGCUUGUCUGAAGAUUUAUUUGAACAUAAUUGUCAAUCAAAACACUUAAGGAUAUUAUUGAAUAUAUUAUGAUGAAUUUUUGGAUUAGGUAUGAAUUUAAUUAAAUGAUGAAUAUUUAUGACGAGUCUGAUAUAAUGAAGAAUAGGCUACCACUGAAAUAUUUUUAAUAUUCUUUAUAAUGAAUUUAUUUUAUAGAAUACCUAUGGCAAUAUAGUUUGUGAUGUCUAACAUAGAAAUCAGCUCAACAUGAAGAUUAUUACCAAUUUUAUUUUAUAUAUAUAUUAUAUUUAAUAAAUAAUUUGAAGAUUUUGAAUCUAAUCCUAUGUUAUU
This is a long non-coding RNA of Gordionus sp. m RMFG-2023, 641 nucleotides long. RefSeq lists it as uncharacterized. NCBI's taxonomy places the organism in Eukaryota, Metazoa, Nematomorpha, Gordioida, Chordodea, Parachordodidae. The record is from RefSeq and is a predicted model, not a curated record. The transcript is spliced from 5 exons.